GACGAACGCUGGCGGCGUGCUUAACACAUGCAAGUCGAGCGAUGAGAUCCCUUCGGGGAUGGAUUAGCGGCGAACGGGUGAGGAACACGUGAAGAAUCUGCCUUCAACUCUGGGAUAACACCGGGAAACCGGUGCUAAUACCGGAUAUGAGCCUUGAUCGCAUGAUCGGGGCUGGAAAGUUUUUCGGUUGAAGAUGACUUCGCGGCCUAUCAGCUAGUUGGUGAGGUAAUGGCUCACCAAGGCGACGACGGGUAGCCGGCCUGAGAGGGCGACCGGCCACACUGGGACUGAGACACGGCCCAGACUCCUACGGGAGGCAGCAGUGGGGAAUAUUGGGCAAUGGACGAAAGUCUGACCCAGCGACGCCGCGUGAGGGAUGAAGGCCUUCGGGUUGUAAACCUCUUUCAGCAGGGAAGAAGCGAAAGUGACGGUACCUGCAGAAGAAGCACCGGCUAACUAUGUGCCAGCAGCCGCGGUAAUACAUAGGGUGCAAGCGUUGUCCGGAAUUAUUGGGCGUAAAGAGCUCGUAGGUGGUUAGUUACGUCGGAUGUGAAAAUCUAGGGCUCAACCCUAGACCUGCAUCCGAUACGGGCUAGCUUGAGUUUGGUAGGGGAGACUGGAAUUCCUGGUGUAGCGGUGGAAUGCGCAGAUAUCAGGAGGAACACCAAUGGCGAAGGCAGGUCUCUGGGCCAAUACUGACACUGAGGAGCGAAAGUGUGGGGAGCGAACAGGAUUAGAUACCCUGGUAGUCCACACAGUAAACGAUGGGCACUAGUUGUGGGAACCUUCCACGGUUUCUGCGACGCAGCUAACGCAUUAAGUGCCCCGCCUGGGGAGUACGAUCGCAAGAUUA
This 853-nucleotide ribosomal RNA is filed under the name uncultured bacterium. RNAcentral describes it as "bacterial SSU rRNA". It matches the Rfam family "Bacterial small subunit ribosomal RNA", at positions 28 to 896 of the family's 1533-position model. The record is from RNAcentral.